This 1227-nucleotide ribosomal RNA is filed under the name Progamotaenia aepyprymni. Its description in RNAcentral is "eukaryotic LSU rRNA". The stretch from base 1 to 1054 matches the Rfam family "Eukaryotic large subunit ribosomal RNA", at positions 72 to 664 of the family's 3401-position model. Lineage: Eukaryota; Metazoa; Platyhelminthes; Cestoda; Cyclophyllidea; Anoplocephalidae. The record is from RNAcentral.
GGAUUCCCUCGGUAACGGCGAGUGAAGAGGGAAGAGCCCAGCACCGAAGCCUGCGGCAGUUUUGCUGUUAGGCAAUGUGGUGUGCGGGUCGGUCAGCGGGAUCGUCACUCCACUCGAAGUCCAGCAUUGAGUAUGGUUAUCACUGGAUUUGGCCCAUAGAGGGUGAGAGGCCCGUACGAGUGGAGGUUCAGAUAUGUACGACGAUUCACCAGACCGGCCUCAGAGUCGGGUUGUUUGAGAUUGCAGCCCAAAGAGGGUGGUAAACUCCAUCCAAGGCUAAAUACUGGCACGAGUCCGAUAGCGAACAAGUACCGUGAGGGAAAGUUGAAAAGUACUCUGAAGAGAGAGUAAACAGUACGUGAAGCCGCAUGCAGGUAAACGGGUGGCGUCAAGCUGCGAGCCCGGAGGAUUCAGCUGGUUAGGAUGUAGUGUACGCGUGCCUGGUGCGUCGAGAGACCAGAAUAAGAUGUUAGCGGUCCAUUCCUCUAAUAGGAGUGGGGUGCAGUUGGUUUGCGUGUGCUUGCACAUGUGUGCCGAUUGUCGCUAUACAUGCCGGAUGGUAGCCGGAGUAUGCCGCUCAUCUGUUGGGUCACCUAAUCAGUGCAUUUUCUCCGUGGUGAACACCACGACCGGUGGAACUGCCAGUCUGCUGUCAUCAAGUCGUGUCCUUCUGGCCCCUCCAUUUCUUUUGUCCUCUUAUGGCUAUUACUGUCUACCUAUUAGCUCUCCUUUGUGGGUGUUGGUGGGUGGAUGGUGAUGGCUGUGAGAGUGAUGCGAGGAGUGGAUGUGUGUGUUUUGGUUGGAUACGAUCGCAGAUGGAGUUGGUAGACGGCGUAGUGGUACAUUAGUAUCGCCGCGUGUUAUCGUUUACUCUCUGUCGUAAGCGAUUAAUGGAGGUGACUGAGUACUGUGACUACUUCUCCAUUAGUUGGCGGAUGAUAGCGGUAAAAAUGACUGUGCAGGGCACUGGAGUUAUCCACCUCUGAUCAUUUCUUUAUUCAUUCAUUUAUUUGGAUGGAUUGAAGGAGUUGAUUAUGGUACCCGACACGUACGUUACAGGUGCUAAGUGAUCGGAGCAUUCCGCUGUCUGUCUUGUAUUGGGCCUGACUGUCGUGUUGCCUACGCAAAGUAGGUCCGGCGGUGGUUGUAUGUACUUGGCAAUUGGCAGUGUGUAGAGUGCUUCGGGUGUGUGUGGUACUGUAUGUUGUGGGGUGAAAUAGUCAGUGG